RNAcentral lists this signal recognition particle RNA (105 nucleotides) under Flammeovirgaceae bacterium 311. Its description in RNAcentral is "Bacteroidales small SRP". It matches the Rfam family "Bacteroidales small SRP". From Rfam's summary of the family: The non-coding component of the signal recognition particle in Bacteroides Lineage: Bacteria; Pseudomonadati; Bacteroidota; Cytophagia; Cytophagales; Flammeovirgaceae. The record is from Rfam by way of RNAcentral.
UUUGCACUGGCGAAUCGGCACGGCCAGCUCCCGUCGAACUCCCCCAGGACCGGAAGGUAGCAAGGGUAGACGGUCGUAGCGGCGCGAUGUUCGAUUCGCCUUUUU